UAAUCUGAAGACUGCUGCUGGAGGGGCCCCUGAAGGAGACACCAGCUUGGUUUUCGAGCAGCGGCUCUCUAAGGUGUGGAAGAAGGAAAAGCUUCCAGUUACACCCAGAAAGUGUUAAGUCUCGCCCGCAGAGUGAAGGAGGCCCUCCUGCAGACGCCCACCAGAGAACCAGACCCAGCGCGCAGUCCCGUUGGUCAGUGGGAGCUUGGUGUCCCUGAGGCAGUGUGGAAAGCUGGAUUCCUAGUGGCGGCAGCGCAGUGGGGCAGGAAGAUCAAAGGCCACUGUGCAGCCCAAACGCGUCUCUGCAGAACUCUGGCUGAUUUGGUGUUCAAAACAGUGAUUGGGUGGUUGUGAGCUAGCUUAACC
This 366-nucleotide long non-coding RNA is filed under the name Ictidomys tridecemlineatus (thirteen-lined ground squirrel). Its description in RNAcentral is "lncRNA (ENSSTOG00000032534.1)". Lineage: Eukaryota; Metazoa; Chordata; Mammalia; Rodentia; Sciuridae. The record is from RNAcentral.